RNAcentral lists this long non-coding RNA (222 nucleotides) under Elaeis guineensis (African oil palm). Its description in RNAcentral is "long non-coding RNA (EGUI_LNC044551)". The record is from RNAcentral. Lineage: Eukaryota; Viridiplantae; Streptophyta; Magnoliopsida; Arecales; Arecaceae.
GUAGAUUCUUCUUCUCCAAGAAGAAUCUUAGUCUUAGAACUUAGAUCAACUCUUUGAUCUAGACUGCGGGAUUAACUCCUAAGCCUACAGCCUUCUUCUUCUUCUCCUCGUUCUUCGCUGUAGAUGGAUAGCACCUCUACUAUUGGCAUGUGAAAAUAUGGGACGCCCAAUCCUUGGGUGUGGAAGAGAAGAGAGGGAGGAGAGGAGGCAUGGAGAAGGGAG